Long non-coding RNA from Pan troglodytes (chimpanzee), 173 nucleotides. RefSeq lists it as uncharacterized. Lineage: Eukaryota; Metazoa; Chordata; Mammalia; Primates; Hominidae. The transcript has 2 exons. The record is from RefSeq and is a predicted model, not a curated record.
AGAGUAUUAAUUUUAUGUCUCUUUGUGUAUCCCAGCCAAGCAUAGGCAAGCUUUUCUUGAAGACUGGUGGGAAACAAGAUUUAACAUCAGAAGCCGGGCUCAGUAACUGAUCAAAGGGAACUUUAAGAUGCAGUCUUGUGGCGCAGUUUGGGCUGCUAACCUGCUAUCUAAAG